This 69-nucleotide transfer RNA is filed under the name Aureliella helgolandensis. Its description in RNAcentral is "Planctomycetes bacterium Q31a tRNA-Ala". Lineage: Bacteria; Pseudomonadati; Planctomycetota; Planctomycetia; Pirellulales; Pirellulaceae. The record is from RNAcentral.
GGGCUUGCCGACGGGUCGGCGCUUUGACUUGCACUCAAGGCUUCAGGGUUCAACUCCCUGCAGGUCCAC